CGCUCUACCACUGAGCUAAAUCCCCAGCCCCGUUGCUCAACUUUCAUUCCACUACUCAGGAGGCAGAGGCAGGUGGAUCUCUGAAUUUGAGGCCAACCUGGUCUGCAGAAUGAGUUCCAGGACAGCCAGGGCUACACAGAAAAACCCUGUCUUGGAAAAUAAGAAAUGUGCACUACCAUGCCCAACCUAGUAUAAUGAACUCUUUGAUUCUUUAACUUGGAUCUUUUUGUUUUGAUUUUGUUUACUGAGACAGGGUCUCUAUGUAGCUCUUACUGUGCUAGAGCUCUGUAUGUAGACCAGGCUAGCCUCCACCUCACAGCACUCCUGCCUCAGCCUCCUGGUGUCUGGUUUUCUGGGUUUGUUGUUGUUUGCAGGGUUGAUAUUUGGGUCAGUGUCUUGUGGGCACUAGGCAAGCAGGUUACCACAGAGCUGUGCCCAGCCCUGGUUUGGGUUUUGAGGUUGUUGUUUGUAUUUAGGUUUUAUGUUUUGGUCGAAAGUGAGCACUAGUUAGUUACUAUCUGUUGAGAAGGAUUGCUAGUUACUAUCUGUUGAGAAGAAUUGCUAGUUAGUUACUAUCUGUUGAGAAGAUUGCUUUGGGAGUUAGCA
This 606-nucleotide long non-coding RNA is filed under the name Rattus norvegicus (Norway rat). Its description in RNAcentral is "long non-coding RNA NONRATT024180". Lineage: Eukaryota; Metazoa; Chordata; Mammalia; Rodentia; Muridae. The record is from RNAcentral.